GACGAACGCUAGCUACAGGCUUAACACAUGCAAGUCGCGGGGCAGCAUGGGGGUUGCUUGCAAUCCCCGAUGGCGACCGGCGCACGGGUGAGUAACGCGUAUCCAACCUGCCCUUCACCACGGGAUAACCCGGCGAAAGUCGGACUAAUACCGUAUGUUGUCCAUUGACGGCAUCCGAUUUGGACGAAAGGUUUGGCGGUGAAGGAUGGGGAUGCGUCCGAUUAGCUGGACGGCGGGGUGACGGCCCACCGUGGCGACGAUCGGUAGGGGUUCUGAGAGGAAGGUCCCCCACACUGGAACUGAGACACGGUCCAGACUCCUACGGGAGGCAGCAGUGAGGAAUAUUGGUCAAUGGGCGUAAGCCUGAACCAGCCAAGUAGCGUGCAGGAUGACGGCCCUAUGGGUUGUAAACUGCUUUUAUGCGGGGAUAAAGUGGCCCACGUGUGGGUUUUUGCAGGUACCGCAUGAAUAAGGACCGGCUAAUUCCGUG
Molecule: ribosomal RNA, 490 nt
Filed under: uncultured bacterium
Lineage: Bacteria
Description: partial 16S ribosomal RNA
Rfam family: Bacterial small subunit ribosomal RNA
Source: RNAcentral